GCUUGUCUCAAAGAUUAAGCCAUGCACGUCUAAGUAUAAGCGAUUAUACUGUGAAACUGCGAAUGGCUCAUUAUAUCAGUUAUAGUUUAUUUGAUGGUCCUUGCUACUUGGAUAACCGUAGUAAUUCUAGAGCUAAUACAUGCAUAAAUCCCCGACUGCUUGGAAGGGGUGUAUUUAUUAGAUCUAACCAUCAUUUGGUGAAUCAUAGUAACUGAUCGGACCGUGCGUUAGCGCGGUAAAUCGUUCAAGUUUCUGCCCUAUCAGCUUUCGAUGGUAGUGUAUUGGACUACCAUGGCAGUCACGGGUAACGGAGAAUUAGGGUUCGGUUCCGGAGAGGGAGCCUGAGAAACGGCUACCACAUCUAAGGAAGGCAGCAGG
RNAcentral lists this ribosomal RNA (378 nucleotides) under uncultured Peniculida. Its description in RNAcentral is "partial small subunit ribosomal RNA". It matches the Rfam family "Eukaryotic small subunit ribosomal RNA", at positions 30 to 432 of the family's 1831-position model. The record is from RNAcentral. Lineage: Eukaryota; Ciliophora; Oligohymenophorea; Peniculida.